This 588-nucleotide ribosomal RNA is filed under the name uncultured bacterium. Its description in RNAcentral is "partial 16S ribosomal RNA". It matches the Rfam family "Bacterial small subunit ribosomal RNA", at positions 355 to 1375 of the family's 1533-position model. The record is from RNAcentral.
UGGGGAAUUUUGGACAAUGGGCGCAAGCCUGAUCCAGCAAUGCCGCGUGCAGGGUGAAGGCCUUCGGGUUGUAAACUGCUUUCGUACGGAACGAAAAGCCUCUCUCUAAUACAGGGGGUGAUGACGGUACCGUAAGAAUAAGCACCGGCUAACUACGUGCCAGCAGCCGCGGUAAUACGUAGGGUGCAAGCGUUAAUCGGAAUUACUGGGCGUAAAGCGUGCGCAGGCGGUUUUGUAAGACAGUGGUGAAAUCCCCGGGCUCAACCUGGGAACUGCCAUUGUGACUGCAAGGCUGGAGUGCGGCAGAGGGGGAUGGAAUUCCGCGUGUAGCAGUGAAAUGCGUAGAUAUGCGGAGGAACACCGAUGGCGAAGGCAAUCCCCUGGGCCUGCACUGACGCUCAUGCACGAAAGCGUGGGGAGCAAACAGGAUUAGAUACCCUGGUAGUCCACGCCCUAAACGAUGUCAACUGGUUGUUGGGGGAUUUAUUUCUUCAGUAACGAAGCUAACGCGUGAAGUUGACCGCCUGGGGGAGUACGGCCGCAAGGUUAAAAACUCAAAAUGAAUUGACGGGGUCAUAGCUGUUUCCU